RNA transcript from Sciurus carolinensis (gray squirrel), 4801 nucleotides. It is a transcript of the gene named claudin 8, with no coding region annotated. The transcript is spliced from 2 exons. The record is from RefSeq and is a predicted model, not a curated record. Lineage: Eukaryota; Metazoa; Chordata; Mammalia; Rodentia; Sciuridae.
AUAUUUGGAAUGGAAGAGUAAUGCUAUACAUGACUGUUUAAAAGAGAGCAAAGUAUCAGAUAAGGGGAUGGAAUUAUGAGGCACACACUCACUAAUCAGCAUUGAAAGCUCCCCUCCAAGCAUCGACAAUUUAGUUAAAUCUGAGGGAUCCUUCCAAUUCUCUACAAUUUCUCAAGUCCUGUUCUGAAUGUCCCUCUACUUUACCAUCAAUCUCCUUAAUUUCCCUUUCUUCAAAACUUACCCAGCUUGGAAAUCCAGAAAAUUUAGUUCUUCAUUUAGAAACUGUUUCUGAUUGUUUUAACCUAAGCUCAGACCAGGGAUCUCUCAGCCUUCUUGGGCCAGGAUACAGCCUCCAGUAUCACUCCAAGGUUCAGCUCUGGGAAAAUGUCUUCAGUGGUCUCUUUAUGAGGCAGUUCACAAAUUAAAUAUUAGACAUUAACAUACAAUCGCCAAACAAACUAGUGAAUAUAAAAUCUGAGUUCUGGAUAAACUGGAUUGAGGAAUUCAACUGAGUUAUAUUCAGGAUUCUGGCAAAGAGUACAAUCAUUUUUAGUCUUUUAGGAUUCCAGAUCUAUUUUAAAAACUACUGAAAAUCAUGAAAUUUCAUUUUAAAUAUAAGCAGAUUCUCCUUAAUAUAUAGUGGAGUUACAUCCCUAUAAACCUGGAAUAAGUUGAAAACCUUUGAAGUUAAAACUGUAAUUAAUAUACCUAAGCUACCAAAUACACAUAGCUUAGCAACACAGUACUGCCAAGUAUUGCUUGUUUAGUCUCAGAUUUGUAAGAUGGACUGAAAGCUACUUCCCAGAAUCAUGAGAGAGCACUAGUACACUAACCUGGAAGAAAAUAAAAAUUUAAAAAUUUAAAAUUUCUACUGAAAGUGUAUCACUUGUGUACCGUCAUAAAGUAAAAAAAAAAAAAAAUCAGAAGUGAAAUCAUCAUAAAUUGGGACUUGUAUGUAGAUUCACACACAUAACACCAUUCCUGGAAUUUUUCAGAGUACCCUAAAUAGGUUGCAUUCAUGCUUGAUUUGUUGGUUCAACAAAUAAUUGAUGUGUAUCUACUAGCUAUACCAAUCUAGAUCUUGACUUUAAAGAGCCCUGGGUUGUCUUAAAGGGAUUUAUAAUUUAAAAGUUUUUUAUUUCGUUAAUUUUAGGACAGCUCACUGCUGAAUUCUAUGAUCCUCAUAAGAACAUUAGACCUGAGGCAUAUGAGAAAAGUGGAAAGAAGACAACGGGUGAUGAAAAGACCUAAUAAGCCAUCUGUCUUCUAAUACUGGUCUUUCUCAAAAAAUAAGGGAUCUCUAGAUAUGUUGCUGUAGGGGGAAAGACUGCUAUAUCCAUGAAGAAGACAAAGCUAUCAGUAAAUCAAAAUAAAAUAUAUGAUACUGAGUUCAUAUAGACUAGGUAAACUGGAUCAUUAAGUUAACCAGACCCAGAUGAAAAGGCUACUUUUGUAGCCCACUAGUUUUGAAGACCUGAAAAAAAUUAUUAAUACUCUUAGAUUGUCAGUUUUAACAUUUGAAAAACUGAAAGAAUAACAGGCUCUCCUAAGUUGUGCAGAUUCAGUAUCAUGAUUCCUGCAAAGAUAAUUACCAGGGCCCAGAACAGAGUAGAUAUUCCUGAUGAUUUCUAAUUACAAAUAUCCCUUCUUGAAAAGUCAGUGAAUGACUGUAUGCCCCUUAAAGACAGCACAGCACUGUUAUGAUGUUUUGGACAAAAAUGGUCAGACUUGCACAAAGCCAUUUGAAAUUCUGAAUUCAGAUGGAAGUUAGUAGGUCAAUCAUGCCCUCAGAUCAAGAUAAUCAUAAAAAUAACUGAUAGGCCUAGCAUUCAACACUAAGUGUUAGAGGUUACAACCUCAAAACAUAUCUCCUGCUUACACUUAGGAAACUUUGCUCCUAAUCACACUUCAUGGAAACAUAAAAACCCCUAACUGAGUACUAAACUGGAGAGCAGUGAUGUUUCAAAAGCACCAGGGGGCGCUGUAGCUCACUCUGCAGAAGAAAUGAGUCUUGGGUUUUAUGAAAAAACUUGUCAAGACACAGUAUGUGAUAGCGCAGAGCUCUUUGGAACUAUUUACCAUUGCAAUUUUUGCUUAGAACCCAUUAAAUUUUAAUUUCCCCUAUUAACUUUGGCUUUCAAAAUUGAGUCAUAGUAUUGGGGGGGUAAUAUAAUACUAUUUCUCAUUAAAACCCACAUUGGAGAGUAUGACAUGUACUAUGUGGAUUUUUAAACCUCCUUUAUAGAUACAAUAAUGUAAAAAAUAAAGUUAUUUGUAGGCAAGAGACAUUUUAUUUACAAAAACAAAGCAUAGGAGAGAGUAUUUCCUGAAUCUUAUCUUCUCAAAUUACUUUAAAUAAUCCAGUCUCCUUGCUGUGGCUUAUCUUUCAAUUAAUUCUCAUAGAAGUAGGUAGGAUCUCAUCUUUACUAAUUUUAUUCAAAUAUUUAUCUAGAAUUAACUAUGUAAAAGUUCCUGAGAAUAAAAAUCAUAAAGUCAAACUUGGUCCCUAAUGUAAUAAGUCACCCAACACUGUCUUUGUCCCGAAGCUUACAUGCUUACAUGUCAGUGGGAGAGAUAGAUAAUAGAUAUCUAAAGAGCAAAUAUAUGGGAAACUGAAUAUACAAACAAUGAUCAAAUCAUGCAUAAAAUUAGAACUCUGACCCACAGCCUGCAGGAACCUGCCCAGAAAGCCAAUUCCUUAUCAAUCAUAAACAGCCCAGGAAUCCAACCAGCUUUAUGUCAGAACUGCAGGAAGUCAGAUUGCUAUCUUUAGGAUGAACCCAGUAAGCUGAACAAUAACUUCUGUGAAAAUCAGUCUCAAAUGACCAGUGCUGAUAAAUAAUUGACAACUUCCAAAAUUAUUGUCCCUACUGCCAAUUUAGGACCAACAAGUGUGAGUCAAAGAGUCAAUCCCAUUGGGUGCUUGGCUUCCAGUUAGCCCACCGCCAGCUUUCGCAUGUCCAGAGCCUCCAAUCAGGGCACAUCGAGCCUUUUCUUUUCUACUGCACAGCUUUCUCACUUCUCUGUCUGCCUUUGAGUCUUUGCCAAAAAGCCAGUGACAGUAGCUGAAUCACUAGCUAGGGCUAGCUGUGAAUACACAGCCGUUGCUUUUCUCCUCUGGUUCUACUUUUGUUUAUUUCUACAUACAUGAGAGAUUAAAUGAAAUACUAUUAGAAAAAUAAAUCGGAAUGAAGGAAGAUAGUACCUGUGAAGGAGAGACUUUAUUUUAUGUAGGUUUAUUUUGUUCAUUUUAUUCUACUUUAAUUUACUUAGAUAUUUGCUAAAAAUUAUUUUUAAGUAAAGACCUAAAAGAAGUAAGGAAUUGAGCCUUGUGGAAACUGAAGGAAAACUAACUGCAUACAGAGGGAGGAGAGUUCAGGUCUCAAGGGGACGAGUCCUCAUGCGGAUUAUCUGCCAGGAUUUCAGUCUUUGCUUGAGCAAUAUGGGCAAGGAAAAUGAGUAGGUAAUGUGUCCAGAGAAGUAUUAAGUCAUGUCUAGGGGGUUAACUCUUACUCUGAUUAAGAAGAGAUAUUCUUUGUAGACUUAAGCAGAGGAAUGACAUCAUUUUAAAGCAGCAUACAGAUUUCUGUAAUGAUAAAAGAUUAUAGGGAAUGGGGGAGUAAUGGUAGAAGCCAGGUCGGACUGUGAUAAGGUACACAGAAGACAAAGGCAGCUUGAAUCGGGCUUCUAGGGGUGGCAGUGGUGGGUACCUUGACUGUAAACAGACAGAUGUGUUGAACAAUGGGAUCUGAAGGAUGAAGUAGAAAGGAGACAAGAGGAUGAAGUGAAUUCUGAGAAGUCUGGACAUGAGAAGUGAAUAAAUAGUACAGGGUGGUGGUCAAAAUUGGUAAUUUAGUCCCCAUUUCUAAUCUUGAGAUGUUCAAGGGACAUUGUUUUCAGGAGAAAACUCUAGGUUAGGGAUAAAAAUUUGGGAGCUGUCAGCACAUGAAACCAUCUAUAUGGUCAACCUAGAACACUCUAUUUGGAGGUGGAGGAAAUGAGAAAGAGCCCACAAAAAGCACUGAGUGACCUGAGAGGUUGGAAAAGAAUCAAGAGUGGCAUUCCUCACCCUUAGCACUGAGUGAGUCAGGGAAUUGUUGACUGACCACAUUCUUCUCUCUGGCAGGUUAAGUAAAAUGAAAACUAAGAACUGAAGAUGGACAUUGUUAGCCUAUGUACGUGUAUGAUUGCACAAAUGGUGUGACUCUGCAGUGUGUACCACCAGAGAAAUGAAGAGUAGAGCUCCAUUUGUAUACAAUGAGUCGAAAUGCAUUCUGCUGUCAUGUCUAACUAAUUAGAACAAAUAAAAAAAAAAAAAAGAAUUGGUGGCCUUUAGCAAUGUGGAGCUCAUCAGUGACUUUGAAAAGAGUUUUUACUAGAGUUGUAAAGAAUGAAGUCUUUUUGAAAAUAACUGAAAGGAAAAUGAGAGCAAAGACAAAUCAAAAAUAAUCUGGUGUGGUGAAUCAGGGUCACAGUCAAGGUCGAGUCAAAGAGAUGUUUCCUGGAAACUAGUCUAUGAGAACACCGAAAAGACCAGUCUUUUUCAAAGCUUGCUGUGGGAGUUUCCAUCAACACUGAAGAAAAUUAACUUAUGUUGAUCCCAUCUCAUUCCCCUGUAGAUCGCUGUGACUUCUAAAAACCUCUCACAAAGCCCACUUUAAAGAAGGUUUCCUUUAUUAAAAAUUAAAUAAACGGUUUCCCUUUUGCCUGCUCAUUUGUUGCCUAAUAUUUACCAUGGUACAGUAAUUAUUGAAAAAAAAUUUGCAACUGUGAUUUGGGGAAAUCAGUUAUUGAUAAAUAC